UCGCCAAAUUUCAGUCCCUGGUCUUUGGCCUACUCCCUGAAAUGCAGGAUCCAAAGCUUUUGUUGAGCUAGACAUUGUCUGAAAUCCUGCUUAAAACUGCUUUUAUAGAAAAUUCAGAUUAGAUAUUGUUUUGUAACUCCAGCUGUCUACUAUCUGGAAAGUGCACAGAGCACAGAGCCAAUAAAUUAAUUCUUGAAAAGGGCCAGGAAGAUUCAAUACUCCAGUAACACGCCUUGGAAGCAAUCACAAAUGCAAGUCACUUAUCCACUCUGACUGCUUUUAUGAAGUAAUACAGGUAACCAAUUGAACAUUAUCCCUACAUCUUGUAUCCUUGAUAAUCUCAGGCCAGAAACUAUAAUGCUUCUUCCAAUGAGUCUCCAUUUCUAAUCCCAGCAAUUAAUAUAUGCAACACAUAACCUAAGAGUACUGGUCCAUAGCAUAAAACCUCACAGUUAGGCUUCAGAAAGCAGAGGAAAUAUAACCACCACCCAAGGAACUACUACCCAUCCAUUCAACUUAAAUAUUUUUUUUUUUGGUUGUGUGUGUGUGUGUAUAUAUUUUGUUACUGUAAUUCAGUACGGCAUCAAAAUGAAGCCAUCACAUGUGGUGUAAGAUCUUCAAUCAGCACAGCAUUCUCCUCGUAAAAAAAUGAUUAAAUUUCUCUCAUAAAUAUUUCUUUCGAAACCCAGAUAAUUUUGCAACUGGUAGAUUAUUUCAUCCAGAUUUUCUAUAUUAGCCAUGCUGAAUACAUAAUGUUCACAAAUUACCUAUGUUUUAGGGGAAUAAUGCAGCAAUCCUUUUUUCCAACUCAAGAAAUUUUGAUGUAUAUUCACAGCAAAUAGUUAAAUGAAGAUCAUCAAUCAGGAGUUUGCUCAAAAACUUGAUGUGCCCAAAACAACUUAUAAAAAACACUUAAGCAAAUCAUUUCACUUUCCUA
RNAcentral lists this unclassified non-coding RNA (937 nucleotides) under Hevea brasiliensis (rubber tree). The record is from RNAcentral. Lineage: Eukaryota; Viridiplantae; Streptophyta; Magnoliopsida; Malpighiales; Euphorbiaceae.